RNAcentral lists this ribosomal RNA (650 nucleotides) under Collimonas sp. AD23. RNAcentral describes it as "bacterial SSU rRNA". It matches the Rfam family "Bacterial small subunit ribosomal RNA", at positions 794 to 1447 of the family's 1533-position model. Lineage: Bacteria; Pseudomonadati; Pseudomonadota; Betaproteobacteria; Burkholderiales; Oxalobacteraceae. The record is from RNAcentral.
UCCACGCCCUAAACGAUGUUUACUAGUUGUCGGGUCUUAAUUGACUUGGUAACGCAGCUAACGCGUGAAGUAGACCGCCUGGGGAGUACGGUUGCAAGAUUAAAACUCAAAGGAAUUGACGGGGACCCCCCCCACCCGUGGAUGAUGCGGAUUAAUUCGAUGCAACGCGAAAAACCUUACCUACCCCUGACAUGUACAGAAUCCCGAAGAGAUUUGGGAGUUUUCGAAAGAAAGCUGUAACACAGGUUUUGCAUGGCCGUUGUCAGCUCGUGUCGUAAGAUGUUGGGUUAAGUCCCGCAACGAGCGCCACCCUUGUCAUUAGUUGCUAAGAAAGGGCCCUUUAAUGAAACUGCCCGUGACAAACCGGAGGAAGGGGGGGAGGACGUCAAGUCCUCCUGGCCCUUAUGGGUAGGGCUUCACCCGUCAUACAAUGGUACAUACAGAGGGCCGCCAACCCGCGAGGGGGAGCUAAUCCCAGAAAGUGUAUUGUAGUCCGGAUUGUAGUUUGCAACUCCCAUACAUGAAGUUGGAAUCGCUAGUAAUUGAGGAUCAGCAUGUCGCGGUGAAUACGUUCCCGGGUGUUGGUCACACCACCCGUCACACCAUGGGAGCGGGUUUUACCAGAACGUAGGUAUUCUAACCCGUACGAC